This 429-nucleotide ribosomal RNA is filed under the name uncultured Bacteroidota bacterium. Its description in RNAcentral is "bacterial SSU rRNA". It matches the Rfam family "Bacterial small subunit ribosomal RNA", at positions 545 to 975 of the family's 1533-position model. Lineage: Bacteria; Pseudomonadati; Bacteroidota. The record is from RNAcentral.
CCGGAAUUAUUGGGUUUAAAGGGUGCGUAGGCGGAUUAAUAAGUCAGCGGUGAAACUCACAGGCUCAACCUGUGCCGUGCCGUUGAAACUGUUUAUCUCGAAUGCGGAUGCUGUGGGAGGAAUGUGUAGUGUAGCGGUGAAAUGCAUAGAUAUUACACAGAACACCGAUUGCGAAGGCAUCUCACAAAGCCGUGAUUGACGCUGAGGCACGAAAGUGUGGGGAUCAAACAGGAUUAGAUACCCUGGUAGUCCACUACUGUAAACGAUGAUAACUCGCUGCCGGCGAUAUAUAGUCGGUGGCCCAGCGAAAGCGAUAAGUUAUCCACCUGGGGAGUACGACCGCAAGGUUGAAACUCAAAGGAAUUGACGGGGGCCCGCACAAGCGGAGGAACAUGUGGUUUAAUUCGAUGAUACGCGAGGAACCUUACC